GAUCAUGGCUCAGAUUGAACGCUGGCGGCAGGCCUAACACAUGCAAGUCGAGCGGUAACAGAUCCAGCUUGCUGGAUGCUGACGAGCGGCGGACGGGUGAGUAAUGCAUAGGAAUCUGCCCGAUAGUGGGGGAUAACCUGGGGAAACCCAGGCUAAUACCGCAUACGUCCUACGGGAGAAAGGGGGCUCCGGCUCCCGCUAUGGGAUGAGCCUAUGUCGGAUUAGCUAGUUGGUGAGGUAACGGCUCACCAAGGCCACGAUCCGUAGCUGGUCUGAGAGGAUGAUCAGCCACAUCGGGACUGAGACACGGCCCGAACUCCUACGGGAGGCAGCAGUGGGGAAUAUUGGACAAUGGGGGAAACCCUGAUCCAGCCAUGCCGCGUGUGUGAAGAAGGCCCUCGGGUUGUAAAGCACUUUCAGCGAGGAAGAACGCCUAGCGGUUAAUACCCGCUAGGAAAGACAUCACUCGCAGAAGAAGCACCGGCUAACUCCGUGC
Molecule: ribosomal RNA, 496 nt
Filed under: Halovibrio variabilis
Lineage: Bacteria; Pseudomonadati; Pseudomonadota; Gammaproteobacteria; Oceanospirillales; Halomonadaceae
Description: bacterial SSU rRNA
Rfam family: Bacterial small subunit ribosomal RNA
Source: RNAcentral